AUUUAGUGUAAAUUGAUUUGAAUAACGAAAUUAAAUAAACUAUUUGAAUAUUUUUGUCCUUCUUUCUUUAGUUUAUUUCAUUUUUUUGUUUUUUUGUAGGUAGGAUUAAUAACUAGCUAUGCUUUGUCGGUCAAUGUUAUGUUUGAAUGAGGCAGUGCACAAACUACAAUCAAAAUUGAUCAAAUUUGACAUUUAUUUGCAAAUUAAUGGUCAAACAAACUUUUAUAGGGGCUUCUAAAUUGUGAGAAAUCAAAAGCAAAAGAGUAACUCCAAUUAAGGAUUAAAAAAAAUAUUUUAUUUUGUAGGAUAAAUUUAAUUAAU
This 321-nucleotide long non-coding RNA is filed under the name Salvia miltiorrhiza (redroot sage). Its description in RNAcentral is "long non-coding RNA (SMIL_LNC000156)". The record is from RNAcentral. Lineage: Eukaryota; Viridiplantae; Streptophyta; Magnoliopsida; Lamiales; Lamiaceae.